Molecule: ribosomal RNA, 305 nt
Filed under: uncultured bacterium
Lineage: Bacteria
Description: bacterial SSU rRNA
Rfam family: Bacterial small subunit ribosomal RNA
Source: RNAcentral
CCCUACGGGGGGCAGCAGUGGGGAAUAUUGCACAAUGGGGGGAACCCUGAUGCAGCGACGCCGCGUGGGUGAAGAAGUCAUUCGUGACGUAAAGCCCUAUCAGCAGGGAAGAAAAUGACGGUACCUGACUAAGAAGCCCCGGCUAACUACGUGCCAGCAGCCGCGGUAAUACGUAGGGAGCGAGCGUUGUCCGGAAUUACUGGGUGUAAAGGGAGCGUAGGCGGGGAUGCAAGUUGGAUGUUUAAACUAUCGGCUCAACCGGUAAUUGCAACCAAAACUGCAACUCUUGAGUGAAGUAGAGGCAG